RNAcentral lists this microRNA (21 nucleotides) under Medicago truncatula (barrel medic). RNAcentral describes it as "mtr-miR2659a". The record is from miRBase by way of RNAcentral. Lineage: Eukaryota; Viridiplantae; Streptophyta; Magnoliopsida; Fabales; Fabaceae.
CCAUGGGUGCGACUUGGUAAG